AGGUAAGCUACUAAGAGCGAAUGGUGGAUGCCUUGACUGGUAAAGGCGAUGAAGGACGUACUAGACUGCGAUAAGCUACGGGGAGCUGUCAAGAAGCUUUGAUCCGUAGAUUUCCGAAUGGGACAACCCAAUGUAUAGAGAUAUACAUUACCUAUAUAGGAGCGAACGAGGGGAAUUGAAACAUCUUAGUACCCUCAGGAAAAGAAAUCAAUAGAGAUUGCGUCAGUAGCGGCGAGCGAAAGCGCAAGAGGGCAAACCCAGUGCUUGCACUGGGGGUUGUAGGACUGCAAUGUGCAAGAGCUGAGUUUAGCAGAACAUUCUGGAAAGUAUAGCCAUAGAGGGUGAUAGUCCCGUAUGCGAAAAACAAAGCUUAGCUAGCAGUAUCCUGAGUAGGGCGGGACACGAGGAAUCCUGUCUGAAUCCGGGUCGACCACGAUCCAACCCUAAAUACUAAUACCAGAUCGAUAGUGCACAAGUACCGUGAGGGAAAGGUGAAAAGAACUGAGGUGAUCAGAGUGAAAUAGAACCUGAAACCAUUUGCUUACAAUCAUUCAGAGCACUAUGUAGCAAUACAGUGUGAUGGACUGCCUUUUGCAUAAUGAGCCUGCGAGUUGUGGUGUCUGGCAAGGUUAAGCAAACGCGAAGCCGUAGCGAAAGCGAGUCUGAAUAGGGCGCUUAGUCAGAUGCUGCAGACCCGAAACGAAGUGAUCUAUCCAUGAGCAAGUUGAAGCUAGUGUAAGAACUAGUGGAGGACUGAACCCAUAGGCGUUGAAAAGCCCCGGGAUGACUUGUGGAUAGGGGUGAAAGGCCAAUCAAACUUCGUGAUAGCUGGUUCUCUCCGAAAUAUAUUUAGGUAUAGCGUUGUGUCGUAAUAUAAGGGGGUAGAGCACUGAAUGGGCUAGGGCAUACACCAAUGUACCAAACCCUAUCAAACUCCGAAUACCUUAUAUGUAAUCACAGCAGUCAGGCGGCGAGUGAUAAAAUCCGUCGUCAAGAGGGAAACAACCCAGACUACCAGCUAAGGUCCCUAAAUCUUACUUAAGUGGAAAACGAUGUGAAGUUACUUAAACAACCAGGAGGUUGGCUUAGAAGCAGCCAUCCUUUAAAGAAAGCGUAAUAGCUCACUGGUCUAGUGAUUUUGCGCGGAAAAUAUAACGGGGCUAAAGUAAGUACCGAAGCUGUAGACUUAGUUUACUAAGUGGUAGGAGAGCGUUCUAUUUGCGUCGAAGGUAUACCGGUAAGGAGUGCUGGAGCGAAUAGAAGUGAGCAUGCAGGCAUGAGUAGCGAUAAUUAAUGUGAGAAUCAUUAACGCCGUAAACCCAAGGUUUCCUA
RNAcentral lists this ribosomal RNA (1332 nucleotides) under Campylobacter jejuni. RNAcentral's name for it is "partial 23S ribosomal RNA". It matches the Rfam family "Bacterial large subunit ribosomal RNA", at positions 1 to 1357 of the family's 2925-position model. The record is from RNAcentral. Lineage: Bacteria; Pseudomonadati; Campylobacterota; Epsilonproteobacteria; Campylobacterales; Campylobacteraceae.